AGGAAAGCCCCCGCCCUCGUCCUCAAGCUGGACUUCGCUAAAGCCUUCGACUCUGUUAAUUGGGCGUGCCUUCGUCGAGUCAUGGAGGUGCGCGGCUUCCCUGAGCAAUGGUGCGCGUGGGUGGACGCCAUCCUCCGUUCAUCACGCUCCGCGGUGCUGCUCAACGGAGUGCCGGGGGCGUGGUUCCCCGUCAGGUGUGGGCUUCGCCAAGGAGACCCGAUGUCGCCCUACCUCUUCCUCUUGGUGGCGGAUGUCCUGCAACGGAUGGUGCGGCGCGACCCCCUGCUCCAACACCCGGUGGUGGAGGGGGGAGCACCGAUUGUGCUUCAAUACGCCGAUGACACACUUAUCGUCAUCCGCGCAUCGGUGGAGGCGGCGGCGCGGCUACGACGCAUCCUGGACGACUUCGCCGCGGCCACCGGGCUGGGGAUCAACUACGGCAAAAGCACCCUGGUGCCGAUUCACGUCGCGGACGAGGUGGUGGCUGGGGCUGCGGGGGCCCUCUCCUACUCUAUACAGGGGUUCCCGCAACCCUACUUGGGCCUGCCGUUGUCGUGGGACAAGCUGACGGCGGCCGACUUCGCGCCGAUGCUUGCUAAGGUCGAUGCCUACCUGGCCAGGUAG
Molecule: ribosomal RNA, 624 nt
Filed under: Triticum aestivum (bread wheat)
Lineage: Eukaryota; Viridiplantae; Streptophyta; Magnoliopsida; Poales; Poaceae
Description: partial small subunit ribosomal RNA
Source: RNAcentral